This 365-nucleotide long non-coding RNA is filed under the name Struthio camelus australis. RNAcentral's name for it is "lncRNA (ENSSCUG00000015603.1)". The record is from RNAcentral. Lineage: Eukaryota; Metazoa; Chordata; Aves; Struthioniformes; Struthionidae.
CUUUGCUACAGCAUUUAUUACAGCUGCCCAAUGGGUGGGAUGAUCUUGUUCCCACUGAAACAAAGUUCAAUUUGAGCUAAGAAUCUGCUCUCAUUUUUGUAGCAAUCCUUACAAGGUAUCUUUCAAGGAUCCUCAGCCAGAGUGAACAUGAAGAGAGGUUUGAGUUAGACGCAUUUACUGCUCUGUGUGCCAUGGUAGUCUAAAACAUUGAAAUAUGGAUAUCCUUCACCUGCCAGCAGUGGGAUUAAGUCUGCACGUCAACAUUGAUUAUAGGGUUAAGAAUAUUGCACCAGCCCCACCAAAGACAAGAACCAGCACAUUUUUCCUGCGGGAGUAGACUUCUGAAAGCAGCAGUCAGAUUCUUC